GGGGUGGGGGGCAAGCGUUGUUCGGGAAUUACUGGGCGUAAAGGGCGUGUAGGCGGUCCUGCAAGUCUUUCGUGAAAUCCCACAGCUCAACUGUGGAACUGCGAGGGAAACUGCAGGACCCUGAGUACCGGGAGAGGAGAGUGGAAUUCCCAGUGUAGCGGUGAAAUGCGUAGAUAUUGGAGGAACACCGGUGGCGAAGGCGGCUCUCUGGACCGGUACUGACGCUGAGGCGCGAAAGGCUAGGGGAGCAAACGGGAUUAGAUACCCCGGUAGUCCUAGCCUUAAACGAUGAGCACUUGGUGUGGCGGGUAUCGACCCCUGCCGUGCCGAAGCUAACGCAUUAAGUGCUCCGCCGUGGGGAGUACGGUCGCAAGGCUG
RNAcentral lists this ribosomal RNA (378 nucleotides) under uncultured organism. RNAcentral's name for it is "partial 16S ribosomal RNA". It matches the Rfam family "Bacterial small subunit ribosomal RNA", at positions 524 to 896 of the family's 1533-position model. The record is from RNAcentral.